Molecule: ribosomal RNA, 496 nt
Filed under: uncultured bacterium
Lineage: Bacteria
Description: partial 16S ribosomal RNA
Rfam family: Bacterial small subunit ribosomal RNA
Source: RNAcentral
GAUGAACGCUGGCGGCGUGCCUAAUACAUGCAAGUCGAGCGAACAGACGAGGAGCUUGCUCCUCUGACGUUAGCGGCGGACGGGUGAGUAACACGUGGAUAACCUACCUAUAAGACUGGGAUAACUUCGGGAAACCGGAGCUAAUACCGGAUAAUAUAUUGAACCGCAUGGUUCAAUAGUGAAAGACGGUUUUGCUGUCACUUAUAGAUGGAUCCGCGCCGCAUUGCUAGUUGGUAAGGUAACGGCUUACCAAGGCAACGAUGCGUAGCCGACCUGAGAGGGUGAUCGGCCACACUGGAACUGAGACACGGUCCAGACUCCUACGGGAGGCAGCAGUAGGGAAUCUUCCGCAAUGGGCGAAAGCCUGACGGAGCAACGCCGCGUGAGUGAUGAAGGUCUUCGGAUCGUAAAACUCUGUUAUUAGGGAAGAACAAAUGUGUAAGUAACUAUGCACGUCUUGACGGUACCUAAUCAGAAAGCCACGGCUAACUACGUU